UGGUACAAACCAAUACCUAUAAUUUAAUACAUAUGCCUAAUCAGUAUAUAGAGUAAGAAAAUGAUCUUUUUUAUAUUCUCUUUUCCUAAUGUGUUUUUCAGGAAAGACUCAUGCUUACUGAGGUAAAACAGAAAUGCCUGAAUCUUGUUGUUUGCAAAAAGAUCCUCAAUCAGAGAUCUAUCUUUGUCAUUCAGACCGGCAUGGUGUAAUCAAUGCCCAACGACAAGGUGUGCCUCAGGUUAAAGAACCAUCUGCUGGGCUUCUUCUGGCAUACUAAGAAACUGCCUUGGAUGUUCAUCUAAGGUUUGUUGAAUUAUAAGCCUUAAGCUGACUUAAGAGUUAGUUAAUUAGUUUUUUUCUUUUUAUUCUUGUUUUUGACAAGUGUAUGUUCUCCAUUGGUUACCUAAGUGAACGGCUGAGAUCAUCUUGUGAUGUAAGAGAUCCAGCUACUGUGCAUAACAGAUAUAUUCCUCACACUAUGUGUGUGAGGUUGUAAGAAAGAAAAUAUGUUGAAAUGAACGCUCUGCUGCUACACGUAUAGCAGACAGAUCCUUUGCUAAAUUCUUCUCUGCUUCUUCUUCCACUUAUAUUUUCUUUCUGCAAAAUCUGAAUACACUAACAUGGCCUCAGAGCCAGGUUGGAUUGUCUAAAGAGCUGGGCGUUCAAUCUGUGAAAUAAGAAGACAUCAUCGGGAAUUUUGGGUUUUCUUCUCAAUCUGAAAGCAACUCGUUUUUGGAAGAAUCAGAGAUCAACCAUGGCUGGAUCUGGAAGCUCAGAUGUGAGAACUCCAAUUUUCUCUGGUGAAAAUUAUGAGUUUUGGAAGAUUAAGAUGGUGACCAUAUUCAAAUCAUAUGGGCUUUGGAAUCUGGUAGAGAAGGGAAUUCCAGUUUCAGAUUCGAAGAAGAAGGAGAAGGCAUCUGAGGAGACUUCAGAGGAAGAAGAUGAUGAGAAAGCAGCUGCAAUCCUCAUGAAGGAUGCAAAGGCUCUGGGUAUUAUCCAAAAUGCAGUCUCAGAUCAGAUUUUUCCACGAAUAGCAAAUGCAGACUCUGCCAAAGCUGCUUGGGAGCUAUUGCAUGGAGAAUUUCAUGGAGGAGAUCAUGUUAGAUCGGUAAAACUUCAAAAUCUUAGACGUGAAUUUGAAUAUACUAGGAUGCAUGAUAGUGAGUCAUUGUCUACUUAUCUUACUAGACUGAAUGAUCUGAUUAAUCAAAUGAAAACAUAUGGUGAAGUGCUCUCGAAUGAGAGGCUUGUGCAAAAGGUUUUGAUUAGUCUUAGCAAGGUUUAUGACCCCAUUUGUUUAGUGAUUGAAAACACUAAGAGUCUAGAGACUGUGGAGUUGCAAGAGGUAAUUGCUAUUCUGAAAAGUCAAGAGCAGCGAUUUGAGUUGCACAAUGCAGAUGCAACUGAGAAAGCUUUUGCCUCAUUCACAGUGAGUUCAAAAGGUCAGAAUAAAAAUGCAACUAAUUCUGGUCCAUCCAAGACUCAGAAAAAUUGGAAUCCAAAAGGCAAACCUUGGGAAUCGAAAGGCAAGCCUCAAUGGAAUAAUUCUGCACAGACUCACAGUUCAUCUACAGGUCAAGAAGCUGUAAAACCCCAAUGCAAGGUGUGCUCCAAGUAUCAUUUUGGAGAAUGCAGGUAUAAAGGCAAGCCAAAGUGUUACAACUGUGACAGGUUUGGUCACUUGGCUAGAGAGUGCACUGCAGAGAAGGCUGUGCAAAAGGCAAACUGUGCAAGUCAAAAGGAGGUGACUGGAAACCUGUUUUAUGCAAACUGUACUACCACUGAGUCAAAACCGAAUGGGGAUUGGUAUAUUGACAGUGGCUGUAGCAAUCAUAUGACAGGAAAUGUGGAUUUGCUUGUUGACAUAAGGACAAAUGUGGCUGGAAAGGUGCAGAUGCCAACUGGUGCUCUUGUGAAUGUGGCUGGCAUGGGUUCACUAGUUAUUGACACAACAAAAGGAAGAAAAUAUAUUAGAGAAGUAAUGUAUCUUCCGGGCUUGAAAGAGAAUCUGUUAAGUGUUGGACAAAUGGAUGAGCAUGGAUAUUGUUUGGUGUUCGGAGAUGGAAUGUGCAAGGUGUUUGAAAGCUCCUCAAUGAACAGCCUCAUUAUCAAAGUUCAAAUGAAGAAAAACAGAUGCUAUCCCCUGUCAUUCCUAGCUGAGAAUCAACUGCUCAUGAAGGCUAGUAUUACACAUAGCACAUGGAUUUGGCACAAAAGGCUAGGACACCUACACUUUAGAGGACUGAAACAGUUGAGAGACAAAGAUAUGGUACAUGGAUUACCUCAAUUGGAAGAGCAAAAUGUUGUGUGUGAAGGCUGCCAGUUUGGAAAACAACACAGGGAUGUUUUUCCAAAUAAUCAAGCUCAAAGAGCAAUCUCUCCACUUGAGUUAGUUCACACUGAUCUUUGUGGGCCUAUGAAAACUGAAUCUGUGGCAGGAAAUAAAUACUUCAUGUUGAUCAUUGACGACUGUACAAGGAUGAGUUGGGUGUAUUUCUUAAGAAACAAAUCUGAAGCUUUCAAUUGUUUCAAGAAAUUUAAAUCUAUGACUGAGCUGCAAUCUGGACACAAAGUGAAAUGCUUGAGAAGUGACAGAGGUGGAGAAUUUCUAUCUUCUGAGUUCAUAAAGUUUUGUGAAGAUCAUGGGAUUCAAAGACAGCUCACAAUGGCCUAUACUCCUCAGCAAAAUGGAGUGGUAGAAAGGAAAAACAGGACAGUGGUAGAAAUGGCUAAGUCUAUGCUACAUGAGAAGGAAAUACCUUAUUUUCUUUGGGCAGAGGCUGUACACACAGCUGUAUAUAUCUUGAAUAGAUGCCCUACCAAGGCGUUGAACAAUGUCACACCUUUUGAGGCUUAUAGUGGAAGAAAGCCGGGCAUUGCUCAUCUGAAAGUCUUUGGCUCUUUAUGUUAUGUGCAUGUGCCUAAUGAACUAAGACAUAAACUCGAGCCCAAGAGUGUGAAAGGAGUGUUUGUAGGAUAUGCAACCUGUGAGAAAGGCUAUAGGAUCUAUGAUCCAACCUCCAAGAAGCUCACCUUAUCAAGAGACAUUAUCUUUGAUGAAGAGAAGUCUUGGAACUGGUCCGAGCACUCAAAUAAAGUUGUGACACCAUUUCCUGAUGAAAGCCUAAGUGAGCAUGACUUUGAUAUAGGAGAUGGAGCUGAAAACGUUGCACUAACACCUCAGACUCAAACCCGAUAUGAAAGGAGUCCAUCAUUCUCUCAAGUAUCAUCACAACAUAUCUCAAGUGACAUAAGUAGUGAAGAAAGGAACACUCAAGCUUAUGAUCACUCACCAUUGAAGUGGAGAAAGUUAGAUGAUGUGCUUGCACAGUGCAAUCUCUGCAUCAUUGAACCAGAAAGAUAUGCAGAGGCAGCUCAAGACAAGGCAUGGCUAAGAGCUAUGGAAGAUGAACUCCAAAUGAUUGAGAAAAAUGGUACUUGGGAAUUGGUUGACAGACCAACUGAGAAACCAGUUAUUGGAGUCAAAUGGGUUUACAAAACCAAGCUAAACUUGGAUGGUUCAGUUCAAAAGAACAAGGCAAGGUUAGUUGCAAAAGGGUAUGCUCAGAAACCUGGACUGGAUUACAAUGAAACCUAUGCUCCUGUGGCUAGAUUGGACACCAUUAGAACCCUCAUUGCCUUAGCUGCUCAGAAAGAGUGGAAGCUGUACCAGCUUGAUGUAAAAUCAGCGUUUCUAAAUGGUGUAUUGCAAGAAGAGGUCUAUAUAGAUCAACCGGAGGGUUAUGUAAUCAAAGGCAAGGAAGAUAAAGUUUAUAGGCUGCACAAGGCUCUUUAUGGUUUAAAACAAGCACCUAGAGCUUGGUAUGGAGAGAUAGACACCUACUUCAUGCAAUGUGGUUUUAAGAAAAGCCUAAGUGAAGCUACUUUGUAUACCAAGUCAAGAGGAGAUAAAGAUAUUCUCAUUGUCUCCAUUUAUGUUGAUGACAUUGUGUAUACAGGGAGCUGCAAAGAAUUGUUAGAUGAAUUCAAGGAAGAGAUGAUGAUGAAAUAUGAGAUGACAGAUUUGGGCCUUCUACAUCACUUCCUUGGCAUGGGGGUGGUUCAAACGAAUUCAAGCAUAUUCAUUCAUCAAAAGAAAUACGCAGGUUCUCUAUUGAACAAAUUUGGCCUAAAUGAGUGCAAGUCUGUAACUACACCUCUUGUAGCAACUGAAAAGCUAGUUAAGGAUGACGGAAGUGGAGCAGCAAGUGAAGAGCAAUAUAGAAGCAUCGUAGGUAGCCUCUUGUACCUAACUGCCACCAGACCUGACAUUAUGUAUGCCUCUAGUCUGCUUGCUCGUUUCAUGCAUUGCCCCACAAAUAAGCACUAUGGAACUGCUAAACGAGUGCUAAGGUAUGUGAAAGGGACUCUAGACUAUGGUCUAGAGUAUGUAAAAGGAAAGAAUGCAAUGCUGAUUGGCUUCUGUGACAGUGAUUGGGGAGGAUCAAUUGAUGACAGCAAAAGCACUUCUGGAUAUGCAUUCUCCUUUGGCAGUGGUGUCUUCUCUUGGGCUUCAGUCAAGCAGAAUUGUGUGGCGCUGUCCACAGCUGAGGCAGAAUAUAUAAGUGCAUCCGAGGCUACUGCUCAGGCCAUUUGGCUUAGAUUCGUGUUGGAAGAUUUUGGAGAACUUCAGACAGAAGCAACCCCACUGCAGUGUGACAAUACAUCUGCGAUUGCCAUUACAAAAAAUCCUGUGUUCCAUCAGAAGACAAAGCAUAUUGAUCGAAGAUAUCACUUCAUCAAAGAUGCACUUCAAGAAGGCAUUAUUGACUUGGUGUACUGUCCUACUAAGGAACAACUAGCUGACAUUUUCACCAAACCUUUGGCUAAGGAUCCAUUCAAUUAUCUCAGGAGCAUGCUUGGAGUUAAAUCAGCUCAAGACUUAAAGGGGAGUGUUGAAUUAUAAGCCUUAAGCUGACUUAAGAGUUAGUUAAUUAGUUUUUUUCUUUUUAUUCUUGUUUUUGACAAGUGUAUGUUCUCCAUUGGUUACCUAAGUGAACGGCUGAGAUCAUCUUGUGAUGUAAGAGAUCCAGCUACUGUGCAUAACAGAUAUAUUCCUCACACUAUGUGUGUGAGGUUGUAAGAAAGAAAAUAUGUUGAAAUGAACGCUCUGCUGCUACACGUAUAGCAGACAGAUCCUUUGCUAAAUUCUUCUCUGCUUCUUCUUCCACUUAUAUUUUCUUUCUGCAAAAUCUGAAUACACUAACAAGGUUGAGAACUUCAAUAACAGAAAAGCACAAAAAAAUAGAAUCAACG
This 5256-nucleotide long non-coding RNA is filed under the name Prunus persica (peach). Its description in RNAcentral is "long non-coding RNA (PPER_LNC007565)". Lineage: Eukaryota; Viridiplantae; Streptophyta; Magnoliopsida; Rosales; Rosaceae. The record is from RNAcentral.